Acinonyx jubatus (cheetah) is the source of this 4088-nucleotide long non-coding RNA. RefSeq lists it as uncharacterized. The transcript has 2 exons. The record is from RefSeq and is a predicted model, not a curated record. NCBI's taxonomy places the organism in Eukaryota, Metazoa, Chordata, Mammalia, Carnivora, Felidae.
UCAGUCCAGACAAGGGGUGUCUCCUUAUGCAAACCAGCAUGCAAACGAAAAAACUAACAGGAAAGACUGCGAAUAUUCAGAAUAGCUGUGGUGCUAUGUAUUCAGAUGAAUGCACUCGUUGGAAAAGCGUAAGGCUGGUGGUCUGGGCGUGAGAGUAAGCGCGCUGAUUAGGAAAAGCGGUGUGCUCAUGCAAAGACGUGCUAAUCUAGGCGAGGACUGGCUCACUGUUAGGCAAAUUAAACGCUAACUAGGGAGCGUUAGGGGCCCCGACGACGCCAAGCGACCGUCCUGGAAAUCCUAGUACGGCAAUGAGAACGCCUCAGAGGUUUCCGUGGGGACGCGGCCCUCGCUUGGCCGGUUAACGGGGCCGGGCGGUGCGUCACAAAAGAGCCCCGAGGCGGCCCGAGGGCGGCGCACGCCGGAGAGGGCUCGCCCUCACCUUGAGCGGCAUCUUGGCGAACUCGUUAAGGAUGGGCACGUCGAACACCAGGCGCCUUAGCAGGUGCUGCAGCAUGGACGGGCGGAUGUACCUGCGGAGACAGGCGUGGGGCGGUGGGGGUCUCACCCCCAGGCCGGCCGCCCCCCGCGGCCCCGCCCCCGCCCCCCGGCCCCGCCCCACCUGCAGAGCGACAUGAGACAUUCCUCGAUGACGUCGCGCUGCGCCUUGGUGAGCGAGCGGCCGCGGGACAGGCGGUACACCGUGUGAAGCAUGGAGUCCACCAUGAUGGCGCGGUGCUCGGUCCCCGCGAAGAGCGGCGCACACUUGGUGAUGAGCGGCAGCACCGCCAGGCACAGGAUUGGCUAGUCUAAGACCACGCACAUCACGAGAGCUCCGUCAGUGUCGUCAAGUGCCCGACUGAAGAGGUUCGAGGUCGCCCAGGCGUGCCCCUCCCUGUCCCUGGACCUCCAGCUCUCACAUGCAUCUCCGGCGCACAGCGUCCCAGCAGGUCGAUCAAGGCAGCGUAGAAGGACAUGAUGGCGUGUCCCAGGUGCACCCGGCUCUCCUCGGGGGGCUCCUCCCCAAAGCUGCAGAAGGAGGGGGGUGGCGUGUGGGGGAGGCAGCAAGGGGCACGGGGAAGUUGGGCUCUGCCGCUGAGAAGGGGGUGGGAGACUCACUGCUCACGCCGCCGGUCCCUGCGGACACCCGGGCCAUCCCGCGCCGGGUCCUCAGAGAUGCGAAUGGCCUCUUCGAUGGCGGCCAGCAGCCCAGAGCCGCCCUCACCCCGCAGGGCAGGCCCGAAGCACUCGGGCUUGCGGAUGAGCAGCCGCACCACCACGUUGGCGUUCUCCUCCACACUCUCACCUGGUGGCUCCGGCGGGUCCGGAGGCCUCAUGAGCUGCUGCCCCGGGGACCCUGCCCCAGCAGCCCAGGACCCAGCACCUCAAGGGUUAACCCCGGGCCCCCACUGGCCUCUGGACCCUGCCCCAGCCCGCCUGGAGGAAUCCCUGCCGAGCCAGGACGGGGACCACACCCUGAGGGAGGCUGGCUGGGUCGGGGACCCUGGCCUCCUGCCGGCCGCCACCGCCAACUCCUGACUCACCGUUGACAAAGACGGCGAAGCGCAAAAAGUCCAGGUAGCGCUCACCGCCAAUAGGGUUCCAGCCGAUGUCUGGGUACCCUUUGGCCAGGAGCAUAGGGCAGCUUUGAAGGCCACAACCCGCCAGGUAGGACACGACCUGGGAGUGGAGACGGGCUCAGACCGAGGCCAGACCCGCACCACCUCCUCCCCAAGGCUCCCUUCCCUGCCCAUCGCUGGAGCUCUGUGACCUCAUUCACGUCUGGAUCUCUCGGUGAACGAUAAUCCUCACCCUGAGCCCUCACCUCCCACCUGGACCGUCACGUGGUCUCCUUCCUGGGUUCCCUGCUCCCCCAGUCUAUCCCACGCACAGUAGGACCCUGCAAACAGCCUGAGUCAGGCCAUGUCCCUUCCCUGCUUGGAACCCUCCUGUGGCGCCAUCUCGCUCCAGGUAAAAUGCAGAGGCCCCACAAGACCCUCUGCACAAUCUUCCCUGUCACCUCCCUGCCCUCACUUCCCACCCCUAACCCCUCACUCCCCCUGCUCUAACCAAACUGGUCUCAAACUCAUGAAGCUCACUUCUGCCUCGGGGUCUUUGCACUGGUGGUUCCCCUGCCUGGAAUGCUCUUCCCCUGAUGUCCGCAUGGCCCCUCUCCUCCUUCAGAGCUUUACUUGAAAGUCACUUUCUCGGUGAGGCAUUCUCUGAUCACACUUGUCUAAACUUGGACACCCUCCUGACACUUGAUGUUUCUUUCCCCUGCUCACUUUUUUCAUCCUUAACACUCGUCACUAGCUAAUACACUAUAUGUUUUACUUAUUUAUCUUGUUUAUUAUUCAUCUUCCCAACUAGAACGUCAGCUUCAUGAGGACAAGAAUUUUUGAUUGUCUCAAUCACUGUAGUGAUUGGUCAGGUCUGGCACAUAGUAGGUGCUCAGUAAAUGUUUGUUGAACGAGUAAUACUAUACGAGCAGAUAACUCUUGUUGAGUGCUUACUGUUUUAUCAGUGGUUUCAUGGACUAACCCAUUCUGUGCUCGGAAUAACCCUAUUGGAUUAUUAUAUUCAUUCUACAGAUGAGGAGACAGGGGCCUGGAGAAUUUAAGUCACUUGUCCAAGGCCACACAGCAAGGGAGCAAGGGGAGUUAUUGUAAGGUGCUGAACUCUAGAGCCCAUGCCCUUCGUUGCUACACACAGUAGUGGUGGGGGGGAGCACGGGGUGGGGGCAAGGAAUGUGCCAAGGUCAUGCAGCUGCGGGAGGGUGAAGCGUGGAUUUGCACUCGGCCCUGUGAUGAGUGACUGGGCCCUUGCUCUUUCCCUGCAAAUUAUUCCCCCUCUGAUUCAAUCCCGGACCAUCCCACAGACUGGCUCCCAAAUUAGCAGGUGCCCCAAGGGGCCAGGUGGAGGCCAGGCCUCCUCCUUCCACACCUUCUCCAGGUCCUGCUCCUGCAAUGCCAAGGCCAGCUCAUUGUUGUCGAUGACAGAGGCAGCUGCCACGUCCAGAGGCGUGGAGCCCUGCAUGCCUGUGAGGACAAGAGGCAGAGAGAGUGCUCUUCAGAGGUAUGUAGGUGACAGUCUCACUCCUGCUUGUCUCACCUCCUCUUGGAAGCCCUCCUUGACCAUCCCUUUUACAGCCUGGGUCAGGUGCCUCCACUGGCCCGUGCUUCCCCAGUCCAGGGCUGAGCACCCUGGGCUGUCACUGUGUGUCCUCCACACUGCACUGUGAGCCCUGUGAGGGCCAGGGCCACGGCUGUCUGGGUGGACCCUCAGCACCGCUCAUUAAGGGCUACCUCCAGGGUGGGUUGAGAGUGAGUGUUUGUUGAAUGACCGAACGAGUGAGCGAGCCAGCAGAGAUGGAUGCCUGGAUAGACUGCUGAGCGUGGGCCCCGGGGGACAGCUCUCCCUCCACCCCGGGCUGGGGUGUUCUCACCCAGGCCAAUGCCACUGUUCUCCAGCAGAUAGCUCAGGUGGUCGAACAUGGAGCGCUGGUUCUGCCGGCUGAUGCGACAGAAGUAGCAGAGGAAGCGGCAGCAGCUUGUGACCAUCUUGGGGAAGCGGAUCUCCUGGGGCGGGCAGAGCGGGCCGCUGGUCAGUGCCUCCCCCCGUGGCCCCCUGCCCUGAGCUCCUCGGCCCACACAGGCCCCUUACCUUGGAUUCGCCACCACCGAGGACAUUCACCAUGACCUCCAUGACUGUCUCGUGCAUGCCCAGUGCCCGCAUCAGGUUCGGGUGUUGGUAGAAGACUUUGUUGUUCAUGAUGUUCCUGUGAAUAGGUAGAGUACGGUGGCGUUUCCGGGGGCCGGGUGCGACCCAAGUCCAGGGAGAGCCCCCAGAGCCUUCACCGUCCCCCUUCACAGAUCCCAACCCAUUCAAUCUUUACGUCUACUCUGGAUGGCAGGAAUGAAAUUACCCCGAUUGUACAGAUAAGGAAACUGAGGCAUGGAUCCAAGGUGGGCUCCCCUAGAGCAGAGACCCUCGCCAUGUUGCGUGUCGUAUCCCCAGAUGCCUAGAAAGGGCCUGGCACAAAGUAGGUCCUCAAUAAAUGCUUGCUGAGUGAAUGAAUGAGGCACAUUCGA